GACGAACGCUGGCGGCGUGCUUAACACAUGCAAGUCGAGCGGUAAGGCCCUUUCGGGGGUACACGAGCGGCGAACGGGUGAGUAACACGUGGGUGACCUGCCCUCAGCUCUGGGAUAAGCCUGGGAAACCGGGUCUAAUACUGGAUAUGACUCCAUGACGCAUGUUGUGGGGUGGAAAGCCUUGUGCGGCUGAGGAUGGGCCCGCGGCCUAUCAGCUUGUUGGUGGGGUGANGGCCUACCAAGGCGACGACGGGUAGCCGGCCUGAGAGGGCGACCGGCCACACUGGGACUGAGACACGGCCCAGACUCCUACGGGAGGCAGCAGUGGGGAAUCUUGCGCAAUGGACGAAAGCCUGACGCAGCGACGCCGCGUGAGGGAUGACGGCCUGGUGUAAC
RNAcentral lists this ribosomal RNA (396 nucleotides) under uncultured bacterium. RNAcentral's name for it is "bacterial SSU rRNA". It matches the Rfam family "Bacterial small subunit ribosomal RNA", at positions 28 to 429 of the family's 1533-position model. The record is from RNAcentral.